CGCCUCUUGUAAAAGUAUAUGAGGUCAAGCCUGCCCAGUGACACAUGAUUCAACGGCCGCGGUAUCCUAACCGCGCUAAGGUAGCGUAAUCACUUGUCCUUUAAAUGGGGACUAGAAUGAACGGCACCACGAGGGUUACACUGUCUCCUUUUUUCAAUCAGUUAAACUAAUCUCCCCGUGAAGAAGCGGGGAUUCACCUAUAAGACGAGAAGACCCUAUGGAGCUUUAAAUUUUAUUACAACUGCUUUACACUUUUAAGUCUUAGACUUACUAACCCACCAGCAUUAUGAUAAUGAAUUUUAGGUUGGGGCGACCGCGGAGUAUAACAUAACCUCCAUAUUGACACAGGCCUGUUUUUUCUUUUUUGCCUUGAACCAAGAGCCACGACUCUAAGAAAUAAUACAUUAACAUUCAUUGACCCAAUACUUUUGAUCAACGAACCAAGUUACCCUAGGGAUAACAGCGCAAUCCACUUUAAGAGCCCCUAUCGACAAGUGGGUUUACGACCUCGAUGUUGGAUCAGGGUAUCCCGGUGGUGCAGCCACUACUAAAGGUUCGUUUGUUCAACGAUUAAAACCCUACGUGAUCUGAGU
RNAcentral lists this ribosomal RNA (593 nucleotides) under Scinax agilis. RNAcentral's name for it is "partial large subunit ribosomal RNA". It matches the Rfam family "Bacterial large subunit ribosomal RNA", at positions 1824 to 2610 of the family's 2925-position model. The record is from RNAcentral. Lineage: Eukaryota; Metazoa; Chordata; Amphibia; Anura; Hylidae.